Molecule: long non-coding RNA, 1264 nt
Organism: Dicentrarchus labrax (European seabass)
Lineage: Eukaryota; Metazoa; Chordata; Actinopteri; Moronidae
Exons: 3
Source: RefSeq, a predicted model, not a curated record
CAGAACCAGAAAUUCUACUUUAUUAUGUCAGUGUCAGUCAGUUAGUUGAGCGUGUUUAUUAAAGUUCAGGAGUGACCUCGCCACCAGCAGACGUUUUACUGAAGCCCAGAUGAUGCUGUGUGUAUGAAUGUGAGUGAAUGAGUGAAUGAGUAUUAGUUUGUGUUUGUGUGACUGGGUUUUCCAGGUUUUCCAGGUUUUCCAGGCUGCAACAGCGAGUUCUCAAAGCGUGUAGUUUCACUGUUCAGGUUAAAGUUGAUUCAUGUCAGUGACUCACAUUAAACACACACACUCAGCCUGUUUCAUGUUGUUACACAUGUAUGAUGUAAGACGUCAUGUGACCUUAAACACACUCUCACACACUCUCACACUCUCACACACACAGGUGCUGUUUUUAUUAUUACAGUUGGAUUUACAUUCGUUUACAACCUCUGUUCAAGGUUAUUCUGUCACUACAAUACAGUGUGUGUGUGUGUGUGUGUGUGUGUGUGUGUGAGGGUGUGUGUGUGUGUGUGUGAGGGUGUGUGUGUGUGUGUGUGUGUGUGUGUGUGUGUGUUUUGGGGUGAUUAACUCGGGUUGAGCAGCGUGUCGGAGGAGGAGGAUGGAGGAGUGAAUAUAAAGUGUUUCAGUGUUUCAGGAGUCAUAAACCUGGAGGAGGAGGAGGAGGAGGAGGAGGAGGAGGGGAGGGGCGUCCUGUUUGCUGAGCAUCAUGGGAAAAUGUCCUAACAAGAAAACAAACAGCAUCUGUGUGAGAACUCAAGUGAACUAAAGCCAGUCUGAGUCAGUGAUUAAAGUCCAUCAUACUUAUUUUCUUCAGAAACCACGCCCCCUUAAAAGUCUCAGUGAGUCUCAGCUUUUUGGCUCAGGCUGCGCUCUCAGAAGGCAGAGGACAGAGGUUCUGUCACACUGUACAGGGUUCUGUCACACUGUAUAGGGUUCGCACUGUACAGGGUUCUGUCACACUGUACAGGGUUCUGUCACACUGUAUAGGGUUCACACUGUACAGGGUUCUGUCACACUGUACAGGGUUCUGUCACACUGUAUAGGGUUCGCACUGUACAGGGUUCUGUCGCACUGUAUAAGGUUCUGUCUCACUGUAUAAGGUUCUGUCACACUGUAUAGGGUUCUGUCUCACUGUACAGGGUUCUGUCACACUGUAUAAGGUUCUGUCACACUGUACAGGGUUCUGUCACACUGUAUAGGGUUCUGUCACACUGUAUAGGGUUCUGUCACACUGUACAGGGUUCUGUCUCACUGUACAGGGUUC